UACGGGGGGAGCAAGCGUUGUUCGGAUUUACUGGGCGUGAAGGGCGCGUAGGCGGUCAGCACAAGUCAGUUGUGAAAUCUCCGGGCUUAACUCGGAAAGGUCAACUGAUACUGUGCGACUAGAGUGCAGAAGGGGCAACUGGAAUUCUCGGUGUAGCGGUGAAAUGCGUAGAUAUCGAGAGGAACACCUGCGGCGAAGGCGGGUUGCUGGGCUGACACUGACGCUGAUGCGCGAAAGCCAGGGGAGCGAACGGG
RNAcentral lists this ribosomal RNA (254 nucleotides) under uncultured bacterium. RNAcentral describes it as "partial 16S ribosomal RNA". It matches the Rfam family "Bacterial small subunit ribosomal RNA", at positions 524 to 776 of the family's 1533-position model. The record is from RNAcentral.